Manis javanica (Malayan pangolin) is the source of this 762-nucleotide non-coding RNA. The record is from RefSeq and is a predicted model, not a curated record. NCBI's taxonomy places the organism in Eukaryota, Metazoa, Chordata, Mammalia, Pholidota, Manidae.
GGGUUGUGAGGUUGUCAAAGCUGAUGCAGGCGAAGGGCCAACUACAGAGCUGGCAUACAGUAUAUGACCCGGAAACCAGAGGGCCAGGAUGCCAGGUGGCUGUCGAGUCAGAAAGCUGAGAUGACCCUAGAGUCAGCCAGAGCAUCACCCCCACAAGCCACAGGAUAUCAGGAAGGCAUUUUCUGUUGGCUGGAGCCACCACUGGAAAACCUGCCAGGACUGAAGAAGUUUUCUCCCCAGAAAGCCAAAGGGAAACACAUUUAUUUCCAUGACACAUUCAUGGUUUUUAAGAGACAAUGUGAUUGUUUUCCUAAUUUUGCAGUGGAAAGCACUGAAUGGAAGAUUCCAGCCGCUGUGACAGCCACUUACUCCCACAAGCACUAAACAAUAGAAGCUUCCAGGCUCAGCUCACUGGUGCCUGAAAUUCUACCACUGGAGCUUCAUUUCUUUGGUUUGACAUUUUGUCCUUUGCAAAAAUGCAAAUACCUGAAGAGCAACCAGCUAAGAGUUUAUGGAGCUGAAGCAGCUGGAUCACAUCAUGAAAUGCUCCACAUGUGAGAUGAAGGAUGUCCACACAUAUGUACACCUGUGAGCAGAUGGCCAUGUGGGAAUGCACACCUGCGUGUGGGUAACCACGUCAAUGUGCUAUGUUUGUACACAGGACAAUGAUUUACUCAUAAUUCUCCAUAUAAAUAUCUUCUUGAUUGAUGUACUUGAUGAAAUUUGCCUUCGGCAAUACUCAUUAUAACAACCAUUAGAACA